AUGAAUCAGCCGAGGAUGGAUAGCUCGUUGCUCCUGAUGGAAGACAUAGUCAUCCCUAAUGUGGAUAUCUUGGGGUUAUCCUUAGAAACAAAUGAACAUGCUUUUGAAAGAAGUGUACUGCGGUUGCUCACAAAGUGUCAUGGUAUAAGAGAGCUGCGCCUAUCAUUCCAAAUCCAAGAUGAGGUCCAAAAUUACUGUUGGCCAAACUGCAUUUGCCACACUGAGCCAGGAGCUGAGGGCGUUCUGAUGAUGGCUCUGAGAGAAGUGUAUAUCAUCAAUUUUGAUGGGGAUGCAGGUGAAGUUUACGUUGUGGAACAACUCCUGCUACAGGCACCGGGUCUUACAGUUUUGACAAUAGCCUCGGAGGCUGAGGAUCCUUCAUUGGGCAACAUCGAAAGCUUAUGCCCUGCAGAUUGUAGAUUUGAGCUUUUAUGGUAUUAG
This 441-nucleotide ribosomal RNA is filed under the name Triticum aestivum (bread wheat). Its description in RNAcentral is "partial small subunit ribosomal RNA". The record is from RNAcentral. Lineage: Eukaryota; Viridiplantae; Streptophyta; Magnoliopsida; Poales; Poaceae.